GCAAAGCCAGGCAUAUUACAUUGAAAAAACUAGGAGUUUCUACAGACUGUCAUACGCCUGAACACAUUGCAUCGCACUAAUAAAGUAGCCGCCAGGCUGAUACUUGCUGGACUAUAGGAUAGCUGUAAUGAUCAAUAGGGACGGUAGUGGGCAUAGAAUCAGUUGCACGAAGUAAAAUUCUCAGAUUCCUGCAGCCUAGUAUUGCGAAGCAUUUCAGAGGGCGUUUUCAUUAUUCAAGAGCGCAGGUUAGGUGAUCCCGUGCGAUUAGAUACGGUUGUACUCUUUACACUCAACUAGGCGGCCUAGGGAUCGGGUCCUCGUUGAUUUUUCGUCUGGCUCGGCACCCUUCCCAGAAAUCCAAAGUCUUUGGGUUCUGGGGGGAGUAUGGUCGCAAGGAUGAAACUUAAAUGAACUGACGCAAGGUCACCACCAGGCGUGGAGCAUGCGGCUUAAUUUGACUCAACACGGUGAUACUCACCCGGUCCAGACAUAGUAAGGAUUGACUGAUUGAUAGCUCUUUCUUGAUUCUAUGGGUGGUGGUGCAUGGCCGUUAUUAGAUGGUGGAGUGAUUUGUCUGAAUAAUUCCGAUAACGAACGAGACCUUAACCUUCUAAAUAGUCCGGCCGGCUUCGGCUGGUCGAAAAUUCUUAGAGGGACUAACAGCGUUUAGCUGUUGGAAGUUUGAGGCAAUAACAGGUCUGUGAUGCCCUUAGAUGUUUUGGGCCGCACGCGCCCUACAGUGACUGAGCCAGCGAGGAGAUACCCGAGGCUGAAAGGUACGGGUAAUCUCGUGAAACUCAGUCGACCUGGGGAUACAACAUUGCAAUUCAGGCUCGAGCUCGAGGAAUGCCUAGUCAGCAUGAGUCAUCAGCUCACCUGGAAUACGCGCGGGCCCUGCCACUCGCCGAAAUCAAGGGAGAAGCACGACCAUAAAUCAAUCCGUUAUCAAC
This 950-nucleotide ribosomal RNA is filed under the name uncultured fungus. RNAcentral's name for it is "bacterial SSU rRNA". It matches the Rfam family "Eukaryotic small subunit ribosomal RNA", at positions 737 to 1831 of the family's 1831-position model. Lineage: Eukaryota; Fungi. The record is from RNAcentral.